UGGUCUACCAGAGAGGGCACAUGUGCCUCAAUUGGCCUAUAGCAUAGCGACUCAUUAUCCUUCCACCGCUGGUGGCGGGCGAUACUCGCUGCUCUGUGAAGCCAGCCUCACGCAAUGUCCGCCACUUUAGGUGUUGGGAUGCAAAGGCUUUCUCCAAGGCAUCCGAAACCCACUACACAACUUGGAAUGGGUGGUCCACAGUUUGUAGCACUAGACCCAGGCACAUGCACCACAAUUGACAUCCACACUACCUUAUUGCCCCCGCUCGGGUUACAAGCAAUCGCUACUUGCUCAGCGAGUGAGGGGGUUCAAGACUACCUAUUUAAGGUGGUGUUGUACUCUAUGAGCCGACAGUGUGGUAUUUACCAACUACAAAUAGUGUCAUGCAUGUGACUUGCUAGUUGACAAUGUCUGUUGUCGAGCUAGAUGUGGGCUAUGGAUGAAGCACAUUAGGAUAUAGUAGGCCUAUUUUGUUUUUUGUUGUUUUUGGGCCACUAUGGACUUUAUGUUGAUGUUGUGAAAUUUUUUCCUGUGUUUCCUCUUCCUACGAUGUGGAAAGUGGGUGCGUCAGAGAAGAAAGAAAGAGUAGCUAGCAUUGAUUUUACGUCAUACCAUUGAGAACACUAAUCAGAAGCAGAAGCAACAAUAUUUCAUACAUAUACAACACUUGUAAUCCAUAUAAACAACUUUCCUUUAAAAUAUAAUAUAAACCACUUGAUUUAUAUCCUGGGUCGGCUAUCUCCACAAAGGGCAAGAAAACGCACCAAGUUUGUAGUAUAGAACUAAAAGUGUCGAUUCUCACGAUUUCUUCCCAACAUAUACAAACUAGACAGUAAUCACAUAAAAUAAAGAAAUAUGUGUUAACACGAACUUAUAGCAUGUAUUUCAACAUAUAGAUUGUUGAUUAUUAUGGUAGAUUAUAUAAAAUAGGGGUUCCCGAAGAAAUACAUAAAAACAAGAGCAUUAAAAGUUCCUUUUCAGAUCUGGCUAUCUAGUAAAAGGAGUUGGAGUAACUGAGUUUCCAAAUUUGUGACGUAGCUCUAUAGAAGGAAUAUAAAUACGUUGGAAAAAUUCUACAAGGAAAGGUCUAAUACAAGUAGGGCUAAGAAAAACUCAAUGAGGCUUUGGUCACAUGGUCACAAAACUUGAGACAAGAAACACGAAGACACCAAGGUAAUUAGUAUGAGAGUUUUCCAAAUUUGGUGUCUUGAUGUAGAAAAAAUAAAUAUAUGACAAACUUGUUUUUUCGCAAGGCAUGGAUAAAUAAGUGGGGGUGAACAAUAAAUUUCAUCCUAGAUUUAGAAGGAAUAAAUAUAUCACUAAAUACGUUUUUUCACAAUGCCAAGUUAAUCAGGUGGGAGCGAGAAACAAUUCUAGCGAGGCUAGUUUGUACUAGCCCAAAACUACAUACAACAGAGGAAAAAUGAAGAAAAUGAUGGUCUACCAAAUAGGGCGCAUGAGCCUUAAGGUGCACCUAGAGGGAAGUAGAAGAAAUAAAUAUAUAAUAGCAUAUGUUUUUCGCAAUGCAAGGUAAAGUGUAGAUGUGCUCUAACUGGGCUUAGAUUGCAGCGACACAUUAUGCAUCUACAAGGCUUGGUUGCACAUGGAAAAAGAUAGAGAGAGAAAUGUAGACGCAGGACCGGGAGAAAAACAUUCAAUGAGACAUGAUUGCACGGACAUAGAACUAGAUAUAAGACAAGAGUUAAAGAAAAAUAAAGGAACUAAAUUUUCUUCUACACACUCAGCAUGAAUGGAGUUGUAGUAUCUGAGAUCAAAAUUUAAUUUAUUCCAAGAUGCAGAACAAAAACGUGAUACUCGUAAUGGUUACAUAGGAACAAAAGUAGAUAAGAAAAAUAGCAAAAAGAUAGUGGUCUACCAGAGAGGGCACAUGUGCCUCAAUUGGCCUAUAGCAUAGCGACUCAUUAUCCUUCCACCGCUGGUGGCGGGCGGUACUCGCUGCUCUAUGAAGCCAGCCUCACGCAAUGUCCGCCACUUUAGGUGUUGGGAUGCAAAGGCUUUCGCCAAGGCAUCCGAAACCCACUACACAACUUGGAAUGGGUGGUCCACAGUUUGUAGCACUAGACCCAGGCACAUGCACCACAAUUGACAUCCACACUACCUUAUUGCCCCCGCUCGGGUUACAAGCAAUCGCUACUUGCUCAGCGAGUGAGGGGGUUCAAGACUACCUAUUUAAGGUGGUGUUGUACUCUAUGAGCCGACAGUGUGGUAUUUACCAACUACAAAUAGUGUCAUGCAUGUGACUUGCUAGUUGACAAUGUCUGUUGUCGAGCUAGAUGUGGGCUAUGGAUGAAGCACAUUAGGAUAUAGUAGGCCUAUUUUGUUUUUUGUUAUUUUUGGGCCACUAUGGACUUUAUGUUGAUGUUGUGAAAUUUUUUCUUGUGUUUCCUCUUCCUACGAUGUGGAAAGUGGGUGCGUCAGAGAAGAAAGAAAGAGUAGCUAGCAUUGAUUUUCCGUCAUACCAUUGAGAACACUAAUCAGAAGCAGAAGCAACAAUAUUUCAUACAUAUACAACACUUGUAAUCCAUAUAAACAACUUUCCUUUAAAAUAUAAUGUAAACCACAUGAUUUAUAUCUAGGGUCGGCUAUCUCCACAAAGGGCAAGAAAACGCUCCAAGUUUGUAGUAUAGAACUAAAAGUGUCGAUUCUCACGAUUUCUUCCCGACAUAUACAAACUAGACAGUAAUCACAUAAAAUAAAGAAAUAUGUGUUAACACGAACUUAUAGCAUGUAUUUCAACAUAUAGAUUGUUGAUUAUUAUGGUAGAUUAUAUAAAAUAGGGGUUCCCGAAGAAAUACGUAAAAACAAGAGCAUUAAAAUUUCCUUUUCAGAUCUGGCUAUCUAGUAAAAGGAGUUGGAGUAACUGAGUUUCCAAAUUUGUGACGUAGCUCUAUAGAAGGAAUAUAAAUACGUUGGAAAAAUUCUACAAGGAAAGGUCUAAUACAAGUAGGGCUAAGAAAAACUCAAUGAGGCUUUGGUCGCAUGGUCACAAAACUUGAGACAAGAAACACGAAGACACCAAGGUAAUUAGUAUGAGAGUUUUCCAAAUUUGGUGUCUUGAUGUAGAAAAAAUAAAUAUAUGACAAACUUGUUUUUUCGCAAGGCAUGGAUAAAUAAGUGGGGGUGAACAAUAAAUUCAUCCUAGAUUUAGAAGGAAUAAAUAUAUCACUAAAUACGUUUUUUCACAAUGCCAAGUUAAUCAGGUGGGAGCGAGAAACAAUUCUAGCGAGGCUAGGUUGUACUAGCCCAAAACUACAUACAACAGAGGAAAAAUGAAGAAAAUGGUGGUCUACCAAAUAGGGCGCAUGAGCCUUAAGGUGCACCUAGAGGGAAGUAGAAGAAAUAAAUAUAUAAUAGCAUAUGUUUUUCGCAAUGCAAGGUAAAGUGUAGAUGUGCUCUAACUGGGCUUAGAUUGUAGCGACACAUUAUGCAUCUACAAGGCUUGGUUGCUCAUGGAAAAAGAUAGAGACAGAAAUGUAGACGCAGGACCGGGAGAAAAACAUUCAAUGAGACGUGAUUGCACGGACAUAGAACUAGUUAUAAGACAAGAGUUAAAGAAAAAUAAAGGAACUAAAUUUUCUUCUGCACACUAAGCAUGAAUGGAGUUGUAGUAUCUGAGAUCAAAAUUUAAUUUAUUCCAAGAUGCAGAACAAAAACGUGAUACUCGUAAUGGUUACAUAGGAACAAAAGUAGAUAAGAAAAAUAGCAAAAAGAUAGUGGUCUACCAGAGAGGGCACAUGUGCCUCAAUUGGCCUAUAGCAUAGCGACUCAUUAUCCUUCCACCGCUGGUGGCGGGCGGUACUCGCUGCUCUGUGAAGCCAACCUCACGCAAUGUCCGCCACUUUAGGUGUUGGGAUGCAAAGGCUUUCGCCAAGGCAUCCGAAACCCACUACACAACUUGGAAUGGGUGGUCCACAGUUUGUAGCACUAGACCCAGGCACAUGCACCACAAUUAACAUUCACACUACCUUAUUGCCCCCGCUCGGGUUACAAGCAAUCGCUACUUGCUCAGCGAGUGAGGGGGUUCAAGACUACCUAUUUAAGGUGGUGUUGUACUGUAUGAGCCGGCGGUGUGGUAUUUACCAACUACAAAUAGUGUCAUGCAUGUGACUUGCUAGUUGACAAUGUCUGUUGUCGAGCUAGAUGUGGGCUAUGGAUGAAGCACAUUAGGAUAUAGUAGGCCUAUUUUGUUUUUUGUUGUUUUUGGGACACUAUGGACUUUAUGUUGAUGUUGUGAAAUUUUUUCUUGUGUUUCCUUUUCCUACGAUGUGGAAAGUGGGUGCGUCAGAGAAGAAAGAAAGAGUGGCUAGCAUUGAUUUUACGUCAUACCGUUGAGAACACUAAUCAGAAGCAGAAGCAACAAUAUUUCAUACAUAUACAACACUUGUAAUCCAUAUAAACAACUUUCCUUUAAAAUAUAAGAUAAACCACAUGAUUUAUAUCCUGGGUCGGCUAUCUCCACAAAGGGCAAGAAAACGCUCCAAGUUUGUAGUAUAGAACUAAAAGUGUCGAUUCUCACGAUUUCUUCCCGACAUAUACAAACUAGACAGUAAUCACAUAAAAUAAAGAAAUAUGUGUUAACAAGAACUUAUACCAUGUAUUUCAACAUAUAGAUUGUUGAUUAUUAUGGUAGAUUAUAUAAAAUAGGGGUUCCCGAAGCAAUACAUAAAAACAAGAGCAUUAAAAUUUCCUUUUCAGAUUUGGCUAUCUGGUAAAAGGAGUUGGAGUAACUGAGUUUCCAAAUUUGUGCCGUAGCUCUAUAGAAGGAAUAUAAAUACGUUGGAAAAAUUCUAUAAGGAAAGGUUUAAUACAAGUAGGGCUAAGAAAAACUCAAUGAGGCUUUGGUCGCAUGGUCACAAAACUUGAGACAAGAAACACGAAGACACCAAGGUAAUUAGUAUGAGAGUUUUCCAAAUUUGGUGUCUUGAUGUAGAAAAAUAAAUAUAUGAAAAACUUGUUUUUUCGCAAGGCAUGGAUAAAUAAGUGGGGGUGAGCAAUAAAUUUCAUCCUUGAUUUAGAAGGAAUAAAUAUAUCACUAAAUACGUUUUUUCACAAUGCCAAGUUAAUCAGGUGGGACCGAGAAACAAUUCUAGCGAGGCUAGGUUGUACUAGCCCAAAACUACAUACUACAGAGGAAAAAUGAAGAAAAUGAUGGUCUACCAAAUAUGGCGCAUGAGCCUUAAGGUGCACCUAGAGGGAAGUAGAAGAAAUAAAUAUAUAAUAGCAUAUGUUUUUCGCAAUGCAAGGUAAAGUGUAGAUGUGCUCUAACUAGGCUUAGAUUGCAGCGACACAUUAUGCAUCUACAAGGCUUGGUUGCACAUGGAAAAAGAUAGAGAGAGAAAUGUAGACGCAGGACCGAGAGAAAAACAUUCAAUGAGACGUGAUUGCACGGACAUAGAACUAGAUAUAAGACAAGAGUUAAAGAAAAAUAAAGGAACUAAAUUUUCUUCUGCACACUAAGCAUGAAUGGAGUUGUAGUAUCUGAGAUCAAAAUUUAAUUUAUUCCAAGAUGCAGAACAAAAACGUGAUACUCGUAAUGGUUACAUAGGAACAAAAGUAGAUAAGAAAAAUAGCAAAAAGAUAGUGGUCUACCAGAGAGGGCACAUGUGCCUCAAUUGGCCUAUAGCAUAGCGACUCAUUAUCCUUCCACCGCUGGUGGCGGGCGGUACUCGCUGCUCUGUGAAGCCAGCCUCACGCAAUGUCCGCCACUUUAGGUGUUGGGAUGCAAAGGCUUUCGCCAAGGCAUCCGAAACCCACUACACAACUUGGAAUGGGUGUUCCACAAUUUGUAGCACUAGACCCAGGCACAUGCACCACAAUUGACAUCCACACUACCUUAUUGCCUCCGCUCGGGUUACAAGCAAUCGCUACUUGCUCAGCGAGUGAGGGGGUUCAAGACUACCUAUUUGAGGUGGUGUUGUACUCUAUGAGCCGGCGGUGUGGUAUUUACCAACUACAAAUAGUGUCAUGCAUGUGACUUGCUAGUUGACAAUGUCUGUUGUCGAGCUAGAUGUGGGCUAUGGAUGAAGCACAUUAGGAUAUAGUAGGCCUAUUUUGUUUUUUGUUGUUUUUGGGCCACUAUGGACUUUAUGUUGAUGUUGUGAAAUUUUUUCUUGUGUUUCCUCUUCAUACGAUGUGGAAAGUGGGUGCCGUCAGAGAAGAAAGAAAGAGCGGCUAGCAUUGAUUUUACGUCAUACCAUUGAGAACACUAAUUAGAAGCAGAAGCAACAAUAUUUCAUACAUAUACAACACUUGUAAUCCAUAUAAACAACAUUCCUUUAAAAUAUAAUAUAAACCACAUGAUUUAUAUCCUGGGUCAGCUAUCUCCACAAAGGGCAAGAAAACGCUCCAAGUUUGUAGUAUAGAACUAAAAGUGUCGAUUCUCACGAUUUCUUCCCGACAUAUACAAACUAGACAGUAAUCACAUAAAAUAAAGAAAUAUGUGUUAACACGAACUUAUAACAUGUAUUUCAACAUAUAGAUUGUUGAUUAUUAUGGUAGAUUAUAUAAAAUAGGGGUUCCCGAAGAAAUACAUAAAAACAAGAGCAUUAAAAUUUCCUUUUCAGAUCUGGCUAUCUGGUAAAAGGAGUUGGAGUAACUGAGUUUCCAAAUUUGUGACGUAGCUCUAUAGAAGGAAUAUAAAUACGUUGGAAAAAUUCUACAAGGAAAGGUUUAAUACAAGUAGGGCUAAGAAAAACUCAAUGAGGCUUUGGUCGCAUGGUCACAAAACUUGAGACAAGAAACACGAAGACACCAAGGUAAUUAGUAUGAGAGUUUUCCAAAUUUGGUGUCUUGAUGUAGAAAAAAUAAAUAUAUGACAAACUUGUUUUUUCGCAAGGCAUGGAUAAAUAAGUGGGGGCGAGCAAUAAAUUUCAUCCUAGAUUUAGAAGGAAUAAAUAUAUCACUAAAUACGUUUUUUCAUAAUGCCAAGUUAAUCAGGUGGGAGCGAGAAACAAUUCUAGCGAGGUUAGGUUGUACUAGCCCAAAACUACAUACAACAGAGGAAAAAUGAAGAAAAUGAUGGUCUACCAAAUAUGGCGCAUGAGCCUUAAGGUGCACGUAGAGGGAAGUAUAAGAAAUAAAUAUAUAAUAGCAUAUGUUUUUCGCAAUGCAAGGUAAAGUGUAGAUGUGCUCUAACUGGGCUUAGAUUGCAGCGACACAUUAUGCAUCUACAAGGCUUGGUUGCACAUGGAAAAAGAUAGAGAGAGAAAUGUAGACACAGGACCGGGAGAAAAACAUUCAAUGAGACAUGAUUGCACGGACAUAGAACUAGAUAUAAGACAAGAGUUAAAGAAAAAUAAAGGAACUAAAUUUUCUUCUACACACUCAGCAUGAAUGGAGUUGUAGUAUCUGAGAUCAAAAUUUAAUUUAUUCCAAGAUGCAGAACAAAAACGUGAUACUCGUAAUGGUUACAUAGGAACAAAAGUAGAUAAGAAAAAUAGCAAAAAGAUAGUGGUCUACCAGAGAGGGCACAUGUGCCUCAAUUGGCCUAUAGCAUAGCGACUCAUUAUCCUUCCACCGCUGGUGGCGGGCGGUACUCGCUGCUCUGUGAAGCCAGCCUCACGCAAUGUCCGCCACUUUAGGUGUUGGGAUGCAAAGGCUUUCGCCAAGGCAUCCGAAACCCACUACACAACUUGGAAUGGGUGUUCCACAGUUUGUAGCACUAGACCAUGGCACAUGCACCACAAUUGACAUCCACACUACCUUAUUGCCCCCGCUCGGGUUACAAGCAAUCACUACUUGCUCAUCAAGUGAGGGGGUUCAAGACUACCUAUUUAAGGUGGUGUUGUACUCUAUGAGCCGACGGUGUGGUAUUUACCAACUACAAAUAGUGUCAUGCAUGUGACUUGCUAGUUGACAAUGUCUGUUGUCGAGCUAGAUGUGGGCUAUGGAUGAAGCACAUUAGGAUAUAGUAGGCCUAUUUUGUUUUUUGUUGUUUUUGGGCCACUAUGGACUUUAUGUUGACGUUGUGAAAUUUUUUCUUGUGUUUCCUCUUCCUACGAUGUGGAAAGUGGGUGCCGUCAGAGAAGAAAGAAAGAGUGGCUAGCAUUGAUUUUACGUCAUACCAUUGAGAACACUAAUCAGAAGCAGAAGCAACAAUAUUUCAUACAUAUACAACACUUGUAAUCCAUAUAAACAACUUUCCUUUAAAAUAUAAUAUAAACCACAUGAUUUAUAUCCUGGGUCGGCUAUCUCCACAAAGGGCAAGAAAACGCUCCAAGUUUGUAGUAUAGAACUAAAAGUGUCGAUUCUCACGAUUUCUUCCCGACAUAUACAAACUAGACAGUAAUCACAUAAAAUAAAGAAAUAUGUGUUAACACGAACAUAUAGCAUGUAUUUCAACAUAUAGAUUGUUGAUUAUUAUGGUAGAUUAUAUAAAAUAGGGGUUCCCGAAGAAAUACAUAAAAACAAGAGCAUUGAAAUUUCCUUUUCAGAUCUGGCUAUCUGGUAAAAGGAGUUGGAGUAACUGAGUUUCCAAAUUUGUGACGUAGCUCUAUAGAAGGAAUAUAAAUACGUUGGAAAAAUUCUACAAGGAAAGGUUUAAUACAAGUAGGGCUAAGAAAAACUCAAUGAGGCUUUGGUCGCAUGGUCACAAAACUUGAGACAAGAAACACGAAGACACCAAGGUAAUUAGUAUGAGAGUUUUCCAAAUUUGGUGUCUUGAUGUAGAAAAAAUAAAUAUAUGACAAACUUGUUUUUUCGCAAGGCAUGGAUAAAUAAGUGGGGGCGAGCAAUAAAUUUCAUCCUAGAUUUAGAAGGAAUAAAUAUAUCACUAAAUACGUUUUUUCAUAAUGCCAAGUUAAUCAGGUGGGAGCGAGAAACAAUUCUAGCGAGGCUAGGUUGUACUAGCCCAAAACUACAUACAACAGAGGAAAAAUGAAGAAAAUGAUGGUCUACCAAAUAUGGCGCAUGAGCCUUAAGGUGCACCUAGAGGGAAGUAGAAGAAAUAAAUAUAUAAUAGCAUAUGUUUUUCGCAAUGCAAGGUAAAGUGUAGAUGUGCUCUAACUGGGCUUAGAUUGCAGCGACACAUUAUGCAUCUACAAGGCUUGGUUGCACAUGGAAAAAGAUAGAGAGAGAAAUGUAGACACAGGACCGGGAGAAAAACAUUCAAUGAGACAUGAUUGCACGGACAUAGAACUAGAUAUAAGACAAGAGUUAAAGAAAAAUAAAGGAACUAAAUUUUCUUCUGCACACUCAGCAUGAAUGGAGUUGUAGUAUCUGAGAUCAAAAUUUAAUUUAUUCCAAGAUGCAGAACAAAAACGUGAUACUCGUAAUGGUUACAUAGGAACAAAAGUAGAUAAGAAAAAUAGCAAAAAGAUAGUGGUCUACCAGAGAGGGCACAUGUGCCUCAAUUGGCCUAUAGCAUAGCGACUCAUUAUCCUUCCACCGCUGGUGGCGGGCGGUACUCGCUGCUCUGUGAAGCCAGCCUCACGCAAUGUCCGCCACUUUAGGUGUUGGGAUGCAAAGGCUUUCGCCAAGGCAUCCGAAACCCACUACACAACUUGGAAUGGGUGGUCCAAAGUUUGUAGCACUAGACCCAGGCACAUGCACCACAAUUGACAUCCACACUACCUUAUUGCCCCCGCUCGGGUUACAAGCAAUCGCUACUUGCUCAGCGAGUGAGGGGGUUCAACACUACCUAUUUAAGGUGGUGUUGUACUCUAUAAGCCGGCGGUGUGGUAUUUACCAACUACAAAUAGUGUCAUGCAUGUGACUUGCUAGUUGACAAUGUCUGUUGUCGAGCUAGAUGUGGGCUAUGGAUGAAGCACAUUAUGAUAUAGUAGGCCUAUUUUGUUUUUUGUUGUUUUUGGGCCACUAUGGACUUUAUGUUGAUGUUGUGAAAUUUUUUCUUGUGUUUCCUCUUCCUACGAUGUGUAAAGUGGGUGUGUUAGAGAAGAAAGAAAGAGUGGCUAGCAUUGAUUUUACGUCAUACCAUUGAGAACACUAAUCAGAAGCAGAAGCAACAAUAUUUCAUACAUAUACAACACUUGUAAUCCAUAUAAACAACUUUCCUUUAAAAUAUAAUAUAAACCACAUGAUUUAUAUCCUGGGUCGGCUAUCUCCACAAAGGGCAAGAAAACGCUCCAAGUUUGUAGUAUAGAACUAAAAGUGUCGAUUCUCACGAUUUCUUCCCGACAUAUACAAACUAGACAGUAAUCACAUAAAAUAAAGAAAUAUGUGUUAACACGAACUUAUAGCAUGUAUUUCAACAUAUAGAUUGUUGAUUAUUAUGGUAGAUUAUAUAAAAUAGGGGUUCCCAAAGAAAUACAUAAAACAAGAGCAUUAAAAUUUCCUUUUCAGAUCUGGCUAUCUGGUAAAAGGAGUUGGAGUAACUGAGUUUCCAAAUUUGUGACGUAGCUCUAUAGAAGGAAUAUAAAUACGUUGGAAAAAUUCUACAAGGAAAGGUUUAAUACAAGUAGGGCUAAGAAAAACUCAAUGAGGCUUUGGUCGCAUGGUCACAAAACUUGAGACAAGAAACACGAAGACACAAAGGUAAUUAGUAUGAGAGUUUUCCAAAUUUGGUGUCUUGAUGUAGAAAAAAUAAAUAUAUGACAAACUUGUUUUUUCGCAAGGCAUGGAUAAAUAAGUGGGGGUGAGCAAUAAAUUUCAACCUAGAUUUAGAAGGAAUAAAUAUAUCACUAAAUACAUUUUUUACAAUGCCAAGUUAAUCAGGUAGGAGCGAGAAACAAUUCUAGCGAGGCUAGGUUGUACUAGCCCAAAACUACAUACAAAAGAGGAAAAAUGAAGAAAAUGAUGGUCUACCAAAUAUGGCACAUGAGCCUUAAGGUGCACCUAGAGGGAAGUAGAAGAAUAAAUAUAUAAUAGCAUAUGUUUUUCGCAAUGCAAGGUAAAGUGUAGAUGUGCUCUAACUGGGCUUAGAUUGCAGCGACACAUUAUGCAUCUACAAGGCUUGGUUGCACAUGGAAAAAGAUAGAGAGAGAAAUGUAGACGCAGGACCGGGAGAAAAACAUUCAAUGAGACGUGAUUGCACGGACAUAGAACUAGAUAUAAGACAAGAGUUAAAGAAAAAAGGAACUAAAUUUUCUUGUGCACACUAAGCAUGAAUGGAGUUGUAGUAUCUGAGAUCAAAAUUUAAUUUAUUCCAAGAUGCAGAACAAAAACGUGAUACUCGUAAUGGUUACAUAGGAACAAAAGUAGAUAAGAAAAAUAGCAAAAAGAUAUUGGUCUACCAGAGAGGGCACAUGUGCCUCAAUUGGCCUAUAGCAUAGUGGCUCAUUAUCCUUCAACCGCUGGUGGCGGGCGGUACUCGCUGCUCUGUGAAGCCAGCCUCACGCAAUGUCCGCCACUUUAGGUGUUGGGAUGCAAAGGCUUUCGCCAAGGCAUCCGAAACCCACUACACAACUUGGAAUGGGUGGUCCACAGUUUGUAGCACUAGACCCAGGCACAUGCACCACAAUUGACAUUCACACUACCUUAUUGCCCCCGCUCGGGUUACAAGCAAUCGCUACUUGCUCAGCGAGUGAGGGGGGUUCAAGACUACCUAUUUAAGGUGGUGUUGUACUGUAUGAGCCGGCGGUGUGGUAUUUACCAACUACAAAUAGUGUCAUGCAUGUGACUUGCUAGUUGACAAUGUCUGUUGUGGAGCUAGAUGUGGGCUAUGGAUGAAGCACAUUAGGAUAUAGUAGGCCUAUUUUGUUUUUUGUUAUUUUUGGGCCACUAUGGACUUUAUGUUGAUGUUGUGAAUUUUUUUCUUGUGUUUCCUCUUCCUACGAUGUGGAAAGUGGGUGCGUCAGAGAAGAAAGAAAGAGUGGCUAGCAUUGAUUUUACGUCAUACCAUUGAGAACACUAAUCAGAAGCAGAAGCAACAAUAUUUCAUACAUAUACAACACUUGUAAUCCAUAUAAACAACUUUCCUUUCAAAUAUAAUAUAAACCACAUGAUUUAUAUCCUGGGUCGGCUAUCUCCACAAAGGGCAAGAAAACGCUCCAAGUUUGUAGUAUAGAACUAAAAGUGUCGACUCUCACGAUUUCUUCCCGACAUAUGCAAACUAGACAGUAAUCACAUAAAAUAAAGAAAUAUGUGUUAACACAAACUUAUAACAUGUAUUUCAACAUAUAGAUUUUUGAUUAUUAUGGUAGAUUAUAUAAUAUAGGGGUUCCCGAAGAAAUACAUAAAAAACAAGAGCAUUAAAAUUUCCUUUUCAGAUCUGGCUAACUGGUAAAGGGAGUUGGAGUAUCUGUGUUUCCAAAUUUGGGACGUCGCUCUAUAGAAGGAAUAUAAAUACAUUGGAAAAAAAUUCUACAAGGAAAGGUUUAAUACAAGUAGGGCUAAGAAAAACUCAAUGAGGCUUUGGUCGCAUGGUCACAAAACUUGAGACAAGAAACACGAAGACACCAAGGUAAUUAGUAUGAGAGUUUUCCAAAUUUGGUGUCUUGAUGUAGAAAAAAUAAAUAUAUGACAAACUUGUUUUUUCGCAAGGCAUGGAUAAAUAAGUGGGGGUGAGCAAUAAAUUUCAUCCUAGAUUUAGAAGGAAUAAAUAUAUCACUAAAUACGUUUUUUCAUAAUGCCAAGUUAAUCAGGUGGGAGCGAGAAACAAUUCUAGCGAGGCUAGGUUGUACUAGCCCAAAACUACAUACAACAGAGGAAAAAUGAAGAAAAUGAUGGUCUACCAAAUAUGGCGCAUGAGCCUUAAGGUGCACCUAGAGGGAAGUAGAAGAAAUAAAUAUAUAAUAGCAUAUGUUUUUCUCAAUGCAAGGUAAAGUGUAGAUGUGCUCUAACUGGGCUUAGAUUGCAGCGACACAUUAUGCAUCUACAAGGCUUGGUUGCACAUGGAAAAAGAUAGAGAGAGAAAUGUAGACACAGGACGGGGAGAAAAACAUUCAAUGAGACAUGAUUGCACGGACAUAGAACUAGAUAUAAGACAAGAGUUAAAGAAAAAUAAAGGAACUAAAUUUUCUUCUGCACACUCAGCAUGAAUGGAGUUGUAGUAUCUGAGAUCAAAAUUUAAUUUAUUCCAAGAUGCAGAACAAAAACGUGAUACUCGUAAUGGUUACAUAGGAACAAAAGUAGAUAAGAAAAAUAGCAAAAAGAUAGUGGUCUACCAGAGAGGGCACAUGUGCCUCAAUUGGCCUAUAGCAUAGCGACUCAUUAUCCUUCCACCGCUGGUGGCGGGCGGUACUCGCUGCUCUGUGAAGCCAGCCUCACGCAAUGUCCGCCACUUUAGGUGUUGGGAUGCAAAGGCUUUCGCCAAGGCAUCCGAAACCCACUACACAACUUGGAAUGGGUGGUCCACAGUUUGUAGCACUAGACCCAGGCACAUGCACCACAAUUGACAUCCACACUACCUUAUUGCCCCCGCUCGGGUUACAAGCAAUCGCUACUUGCUCAGCGAGUGAGGGGGUUCAAGACUACCUAUUUAAGGUGGUGUUGUACUCUAUAAGCCGGCGGUGUGGUAUUUACCAACUACAAAUAGUGUCAUGCAUGUGACUUGCUAGUUGACAAUGUCUGUUGUCGAGCUAGAUGUGGGCUACGGAUGAAGCACAUUAUGAUAUAGUAGGCCUAUUUUGUUUUUUGUUGUUUUUGGGCCACUAUGGACUUUAUGUUGAUGUUGUGAAAUUUUUUCUUGUGUUUCCUCUUCCUACGAUGUGGAAAGUGGGUGUGUUAGAGAAGAAAGAAAGAGUGGCUAGCAUUGAUUUUACGUCAUACCAUUGAGAACACUAAUCAGAAGCAGAAGCAACAAUAUUUCAUACAUAUACAACACUUGUAAUCCAUAUAAACAACUUUCCUUUAAAAUAUAAUAUAAACCACAUGAUUUAUAUCCUGGGUCGGCUAUCUCCACAAAGGGCAAGAAAACGCUCCAAGUUUGUAGUAUAGAACUAAAAGUGUCGAUUCUCACGAUUUCUUCCCGACAUAUACAAACUAGACAGUAAUCACAUAAAAUAAAGAAAUAUGUGUUAACACAAACUUAUAGCAUGUAUUUCAACAUAUAGAUUGUUGAUUAUUAUGGUAGAUUAUAUAAAAUAGAGGUUCCCGAAGAAAUACAUAAAAACAAGAGCAUUAAAAUUUCCAUUUCAGAUCUGGCUAUCUGGUAAAAGGAGUUGGAGUAACUGAGUUUCCAAAUUUGUGACGUAGCUCUAUAGAAGGAAUAUAAAUACGUUGGAAAAAUUCUACAAGGAAAGGUUUAAUACAAGUAGGGCUAAGAAAAACUCAAUGAGGCUUUGGUCGCAUGGUCACAAAACUUGAGACAAGAAACACGAAGACACCAAGGUAAUUAGUAUGAGAGUUUUCCAAAUUUGGUGUCUUGAUGUAGAAAAAAUAAAUAUAUGACAAACUUGUUUUUUCGCAAGGCAUGGAUAAAUAAGUGGGGGCGAGCAAUAAAUUUCAUCCUAGAUUUAGAAGGAAUAAAUAUAUCACUAAAUACGUUUUUUCAUAAUGCCAAGUUCAUCAGGUGGGAGCGAGAAACAAUUCUAGCGAGGUUAGGUUGUACUAGCCCAAAACUACAUACAACAGAGGAAAAAUGAAGAAAAUGAUGGUCUACCAAAUAUGGCGCAUGGGCCUUAAGGUGCACCUAGAGGGAAGUAUAAGAAAUAAAUAUAUAAUAGCCUAUGUUUUUCGCAAUGCAAGGUAAAGUGUAGAUGUGCUCUAACUGGGCUUAGAUUGCAGCGACACAUUAUGCAUCUACAAGGCUUGGUUGCACAUGGAAAAAGAUAGAGAGAGAAAUGUAGACACAGGACGGGGAGAAAAACAUUCAAUGAGACAUGAUUGCACGGACAUAGAACUAGAUAUAAGACAAGAGUUAAAGAAAAAUAAAGGAACUAAAUUUUCUUCUGCACACUCAGCAUGAAUGGAGUUGUAGUAUCUGAGAUCAAAAUUUAAUUUAUUCCAAGAUGCAGAACAAAAACGUGAUACUCGUAAUGGUUACAUAGGAACAAAAGUAGAUAAGAAAAAUAGCAAAAAGAUAGUGGUCUACCAGAGAGGGCACAUGUGCCUCAAUUGGCCUAUAGCAUAGCGACUCAUUAUCCUUCCACCGCUGGUGGCAGGCGGUACUCGCUGCUCUGUGAAGCCAGCCUCACGCAAUGUCCGCCACUUUAGGUGUUGGGAUGCAAAGGCUUUCGCCAAGGCAUCCGAAACCCACUACGCAACUUGGAAUGGGUGGUCCACAGUUUGUAGCACUAGACCCAGGCACAUGCACCACAAUUGACAUCCACACUACCUUAUUGCCCCCGCUCGGGUUACAAGCAAUCGCUACUUGCUCAGCGAGUGAGGGGGUUCAAGACUACCUAUUUAAGGUGGUGUUGUACUCUAUAAGCCGGCGGUGUGGUAUUUACCAACUACAAAUAGUGUCAUGCAUGUGACUUGCUAGUUGACAAUGUCUGUUGUCGAGCUAGAUGUGGGCUAUGGAUGAAACACAUUACGAUAUAGUAGGCCUAUUUUGUUUUUUGUUGUUUUUGGGCCACUAUGGACUUUAUGUUGAUGUUGUGAAAUUUUUUCUUGUGUUUCCUCUUCCUAUGAUGUGGAAAGUGGGUGGGUUAGAGAAGAAAGAAAGAGUGGCUAGCAUUGAUUUUACGUCAUACAAUUGAGAACACUAAUCAGAAGCAGAAGCAACAAUAUUUCAUACAUAUACAACACUUGUAAUCCAUAUAAACAACUUUCCUUUAAAAUAUAAUAUAAACCACAUGAUUUAUAUCCUGGGUCGGCUAUCUCCACAAAGGGCAAGAAAACGCUCCAAGUUUGUAGUAUAGAACUAAAAGUGUCGAUUCUCACGAUUUCUUCCCGACAUAUACAAACUAGACAGUAAUCACAUAAAAUAAAGAAAUAUGUGUUAACACGAACUUAUAGCAUGUAUUUCAACAUAUAGAUUGCUGAUUAUUAUGGUUGAUUAUAUAAAAUAGGGGUUCCCGAAGAAAUACAUAAAAACAAGAGCAUUAAAAUUUCCUUUUCAGAUCUGGCUAUCUGGUAAAAGGAGUUGGAGUAACUGAGUUUCCAAAUUUGUGACGUAGCUCUAUAGAAGGAAUAUAAAUACGUUGGAAAAAUUCUACAAGGAAAGGUUUAAUACAAGUAGGGCUAAGAAAAACUCAAUGAGGCUUUGGUCGCAUGGUCACAAAACUUGAGACAAGAAACACGAAGACACCAAGGUAAUUAGUAUGAGAGUUUUCCAAAUUUGGUGUCUUGAUGUAGAAAAAAUAAAUAUAUGACAAACUUGUUUUUUCGCAAGGCAUGGAUAAAUAAGUGGGGGUGAGCAAUAAAUUUCAUCCUAGAUUUAGAAGGAAUAAAUAUAUCACUAAAUACGUUUUUUACAAUGCCAAGUUAAUUAGGUGGGAGCGAGAAACAAUUCUAGCGAGGCUAGGUUGUACUAGCCCAAAACUACAUACAACAGAGGAAGAAUGAAGAAAAUGAUGGUCUACCAAAUAUGGCACAUGAGCCUUAAGGUGCACCUAGAGGGAAGUAGAAGAAUAAAUAUAUAAUAGCAUAUGUUUUUCGCAAUGCAAGGUAAAGUGUAGAUGUGCUCUAACUGGGCUUAGAUUGCAGCGACACAUUAUGCAUCUACAAGGCUUCGUUGCACAUGGAAAAAGAUAGAGAGAGAAAUGUAGACGCAGGACCGGGAGAAAAACAUUCAAUGAGACGUGAUUGCACGGACAUAGAACUAAGUAUAAGACAAGAGUUAAAGAAAAAAGGAACUAAAUUUUCUUGUGCACACUAAGCAUGAAUGGAGUUGUAGUAUCUGAGAUCAAAAUUUAAUUUAUUCCAAGAUGCAGAACAAAAACGUGAUACUCGUAAUGGUUACAUAGGAACAAAAGUAGAUAAGAAAAAUAGCAAAAAGAUAUUGGUCUACCAGAGAGGGCACAUGUGCCUCAAUUGGCCUAUAGCAUAGUGGCUCAUUAUCCUUCCACCGCUGGUGGCGGGCGGUACUCGCUGCUCUGUGAAGCCAGCCUCACGCAAUGUCCGCCACUUUAGGUGUUGGGAUGCAAAGGCUUUCGCCAAGGCAUCCGAAACCCACUACACAACUUGGAAUGGGUGGUCCACAGUUUGUAGCAAUAGACCCAGGCACAUGCACCACAAUUGACAUUCACACUACCUUAUUGCCCCCGCUCGGGUUACAAGCAAUCGCUACUUGCUCAGCGAGUGAGGGGGUUCAAGACUACCUAUUUAAGGUGGUGUUGUACUGUAUGAGCCGGCGGUGUGGUAUUUACCAACUACAAAUAGUGUCAUGCAUGUGACUUGCUAGUUGACAAUGUCUAUUGUCGAGCUAGAUGUGGGCUAUAGAUGAAGCACAUUAGGAUAUAGUAGGCCUAUUUUGUUUUUUGUUGUUUUUGGGCCACUAUGGACUUUAUGUUGAUGUUGUGAAAUUUUUUCUUGUGUUUCCUCUUCCUACGAUGUGGAAAGUGGGUGCUUCAGAGAAGAAAGAAAGAGUGGCUAGCAUUGAUUUUACGUCAUACCAUUGAGAACACUAAUCAGAAGCAGAAGCAACAAUAUUUCAUACAUAUACAACACUUGUAAUCCAUAUAAACAACUUUCCUUUCAAAUAUAAUAUAAACCACAUGAUUUAUAUCCUGGGUCGGCUAUCUCCACAAAGGGCAAGAAAACGCUCCAAGUUUGUAGUAUAGCACUAAAAGUGUCGACUCUCACGAUUUCUUCCCGACAUAUGCAAACUAGACAGUAAUCACAUAAAAUAAAGAAAUAUGUGUUAACACAAACUUAUAGCAUGUAUUUCAACAUAUAGAUUUUUGAUUAUUAUGGUAGAUUAUAUAAUAUAGGGGUUCCCGAAAAAAUACAUAAAAAACAAGAGCAUUAAAAUUUCCUUUUCAGAUCUGGCUAACUGGUAAAGGGAGUUGGAGUAUCUGAGUUUCCAAAUUUGGGACGUCGCUCUAUAGAAGGAAUAUAAAUACAUUGGAAAAAAUUCUACAAGGAAAGGUUUAAUACAAGUAGCGCUAAGAAAAACUCAAUGAGGCUUUGGUCGCUUGGUCACAAAACUUGAGACAAGAAACACGAAGACACCAAGGUAAUUAGUAUGAGAGUUUUCCAAAUUUGGUGUCUUGAUGUAGAAAAAAUAAAUAUAUGACAAACUUGUUUUUUCGCAAGGCAUGGAUAAAUAAGUGGGGGUGAGCAAUAAAUUUCAUCCUAGAUUUAGAAGGAAUAAAUAUAUCACUAAAUACGUUUUUUCACAAUGCCAAGUUAAUCAGGUGGGAGCGAGAAACAAUUCUAGCGAGGCUAGGUUGUACUAGCCCAAAACUACAUACAACAGAGGAAAAAUAAAGAAAAUGAUGGUCUACCAAAUAGGGCGCAUGAGCCUUAAGGUGCACCUAGAGGGAAGUAGAAGAAAUAAAUAUAUAAUAGCAUAUGUUUUUCGCAAUGCAAGGUAAAGUGUAGAUGUGCUCUAACUGGGCUUAGAUUGCAGCGACACAUUAUGCAUCUACAAGGCUUGGUUGCACAUGGAAAAAGAUAGAGAGAGAAAUGUAGACGCAGGACCGGGAGAAAAACAUUCAAUGAGACGUGAUUGCACGGACAUAGAACUAGAUAUAAGACAAGAGUUAAAGAAAAAUAAAGGAACUAAAUUUUCUUCUGCACACUAAGCAUGAAUGGAGUUGUAGUAUCUGAGAUCAAAAUUUAAUUUAUUCCAAGAUGCAGAACAAAAACGUGAUACUCGUAAUGGUUACAUAGGAACAAAAGUAGAUAAGAAAAAUAGCAAAAAGAUAGUGGUCUACCAGAGAGGGCACAUGUGCCUCAAUUGGCCUAUAGCAUAGCGACUCAUUAUCCUUCCACCGCUGGUGGCGGGCGGUACUCGCUGCUCUGUGAAGCCAGCCUCACGCAAUGUCCGCCACUUUAGGUGUUGGGAUGCAAAGGCUUUCGCCAAGGCAUCCGAAACCCACUACACAACUUGGAAUGGGUGGUCCACAGUUUGUAGCACUAGACCCAGGCACAUGCACCACAAUUGACAUCCACACUACCUUAUUGCCCCCGCUCGGGUUACAAGCAAUCGCUACUUGCUCAGCGAGUGAGGGGGUUCAAGACUACCUAUUUAAGGUGGUGUUGUACUCUAUGAGCCGGCGGUGUGGUAUUUACCAACUACAAAUAGUGUCAUGCAUGUGACUUGCUAGUUGACAAUGUCUGUUGUCAAGCUAGGUGUGGGCUAUGGAUGAAGCACAUUAGGAUAUAGUAGGCCUAUUUUGUUUUUUGUUGUUUUUGGGCCACUAUGGACUGUAUGUUGAUGUUGUGAAAUUUUUUUCUUGUGUUUCCUCUUCCUACGAUGUGGAAAGUGGGUGCGUCAGAGAAGAAAGAAAGAGUGGCUAGCAUUGAUUUUACGUCAUACCAUUGAGAACACUAAUCAGAAGCAGAAGCAACAAUAUUUCAUACAUAUACAACACUUGUAAUCCAUAUAAACAACAUUCCUUUAAAAUAUAAUAUAAACCACAUGAUUUAUAUCCUGGGUCGGCUAUCUCCACAAAGGGCAAGAAAACGCUCCAAGUUUGUAGUAUAGCACUAAAAGUGUCGAUUCUCACGAUUUCUUCCCGACAUAUACAAACUAGACAGUAAUCACAUAAAAUAAAGAAAUAUGUGUUAACACGAACUUAUAACAUGUAUUUCAACAUAUAGAUUGUUGAUUAUUAUGGUAGAUUAUAUAAAAUAGGGGUUCCCGAAGAAAUACAUAAAAACAAGAGCAUUAAAAUUUCCUUUUCAGAUCUGGCUAUCUGGUAAAAGGAGUUGGAGUAACUGAGUUUCCAAAUUUGUGACGUAGCUCUAUAGAAGGAAUAUAAAUACGUUGGAAAAAUUCUAUAAGGAAAGGUUUAAUACAAGUAGGGCUAAGAAAAACUCAAUGAGGCUUUGGUCGCAUGGUCACAAAACUUGAGACAAGAAACACGAAGACACCAAGGUAAUUAGUAUGAGAGUUUUCCAAAUUUGGUGUCUUGAUGUAGAAAAAAUAAAUAUAUGACAAACUUGUUUUUUCGCAAGGCAUGGAUAAAUAAGUGGGGGUGAGCAAUAAAUUUCAUCCUAGAUUUAGAAGGAAUAAAUAUAUCACUAAAUAUGUUUUUUCACAAUGCCAAGUUAAUCAGGUGGGAGCGAGAAACAAUUCUAGCGAGGCUAGGUUGUACUAGCCCAAAACUACAUACAACAGAGGAAAAAUGAAGAAAAUGAUGGUCUACCAAAUAUGGCGCAUGAGCCUUAAGGUGCACCUAGAGGGAAGUAGAAGAAAUAAAUAUAUAAUAGCAUAUGUUUUUCGCAAUGCAAGGUAAAGUGUAGAUGUGCUCUAACUGGGCUUAGAUUGCAGCGACACAUUAUGCAUCUACAAGGCUUGGUUGCACAUGGAAAAAGAUAGAGAGAGAAAUGUAGACGCAGGACCGGGAGAAAAACAUUCAACGAGACGUGAUUGCACGGACAUAGAACUAGAUAUAAGACAAGAGUUAAAGAAAAAUAAAGGAACUAAAUUUUCUUCUGCACACUAAGCAUGAAUGGAGUUGUAGUAUCUGAGAUCAAAAUUUAAUUUAUUCCAAGAUGCAGAACAAAAACGUGAUACUCGUAAUGGUUACAUAGGAACAUAAGUAGAUAAGAAAAAUAGCAAAAAGAUAGUGGUCUACCAGAGAGGGCACAUGUGCCUCAAUUGGCCUAUAGCAUAGCGACUCAUUAUCCUUCCACCGCUGGUGGCGGGCGGUACUCGCUGCUCUGUGAAGCCAGCCUCACGCAAUGUCUGCCACUUUAGGUGUUGGGAUGCAAAGGCUUUCGCCAAGGCAUCCGAAACCCACUACACAACUUGGAAUGGGUGGUCCACAGUUGGUAGCACUAGACCCAGGCACAUGCACCACAAUUGACAUCCACACUACCUUAUUGCCCCCGCUCGGGUUACAAGCAAUCGCUACUUGCUCAGCGAGUGAGGGGGUUCAAGACUACCUAUUUAAGGUGGUGUUGUACUCUAUGAGCCGGUGGUGUGGUAUUUACCAACUACAAAUAGUGUCAUGCAUGUGACUUGCUAGUUGACAAUGUCUGUUGUCAAGCUAGGUGUGGGCUAUGGAUGAAGCACAUUAGGAUAUAGUAGGCCUAUUUUGUUUUUUGUUGUUUUUGGGCCACUAUGGACUUUAUGUUGAUGUUGUGAAUUUUUUUUCUUGUGUUUCCUCUUCCUACAAUGUGGAAAGUGGGUGCGUCAGAGAAGAAAGAAAGAGUGGCUAGCAUUGAUUUUACGUCAUACCAUUGAGAACACUAAUCAGAAGCAGAAGCAACAAUAUUUCAUACAUAUACAACACUUGUAAUCCAUAUAAACAACAUUCCUUUAAAAUAUAAUAUAAACCACAUGAUUUAUAUCCUGGGUCGGCUAUCUCCACAAAGGGCAAGAAAACGCUCCAAGUUUGUAGUAUAGCACUAAAAGUGUCGAUUCUCACGAUUUCUUCCCGACAUAUACAAACUAGACAGUAAUCACAUAAAAUAAAGAAAUAUGUGUUAACACGAACUUAUAGCAUGUAUUUCAACAUAUAGAUUGUUGAUUAUUAUGGUAGAUUAUAUAAAAUAGGGGUUCCCGAAGAAAUACAUAAAAACAAGAGCAUUAAAAUUUCCUUUUCAGAUCUGGCUAUCUGGUAAAAGGAGUUGGAGUAACUGAGUUUCCAAAUUUGUGACGUAGCUCUAUAGAAGGAAUAUAAAUACGUUGGAAAAAUUCUAUAAGGAAAGGUUUAAUACAAGUAGGGCUAAGAAAAACUCAAUGAGGCUUUGGUCGCAUGGUCACAAAACUUGAGACAAGAAACACGAAGACACCAAGGUAAUUAGUAUGAGAGUUUUCCAAAUUUGGUGUCUUGAUGUAGAAAAAAUAAAUAUAUGACAAACUUGUUUUUCGCAAGGCAUGGAUAAAUAAGUGGGGGUGAGCAAUAAAUUUCAUCCUAGAUUUAGAAGGAAUAAAUAUAUCACUUAAUAUGUUUUUUCACAAUGCCAAGUUAAUCAGGUGGGAGCGAGAAACAAUUCUAGCGAGGCUAGGUUGUACUAGCCCAAAACUACAUACAACAGAGGAAAAAUGAAGAAAAUGAUGGUCUACCAAAUAUGGUGCAUGAGCCUUAAGGUGCACCUAGAGGGAAGUAGAAGAAAUAAAUAUAUAAUAGCAUAUGUUUUUCGCAAUGCAAGGUAAAGUGUAGAUGUGCUCUAACUGGGCUUAGAUUGCAGCGACACAUUAUGCAUCUACAAGGCUUGGUUGCACAUGGAAAAAGAUAGAGAGAGAAAUGUAGACGCAAGACCGGGAGAAAAACAUUCAAUGAGACGUGAUUGCACGGACAUAGAACUAGAUAAAAGACAAGAGUUAAAGAAAAAUAAAGGAACUAAAUUUUCUUCUGCACACUAAGCAUGAAUGGAGUUGUAGUAUCUGAGAUCAAAAUUUAAUUUAUUCCAAGAUGCAGAACAAAAACGUGAUACUCGUAAUGGUUACAUAGGAACAUAAGUAGAUAAGAAAAAUAGCAAAAAGAUAGUGGUCUACCAGAGAGGGCACAUGUGCCUCAAUUGGCCUAUAGCAUAGCGACUCAUUAUCCUUCCACCGCUGGUGGCGGGCGGUACUCGCUGCUCUGUGAAGCCAGCCUCACGCAAUGUCCGCCACUUUAGGUGUUGGGAUGCAAAGGCUUUUGCCAAGGCAUCCGAAACCCACUACACAACUUGGAAUGGGUGGUCCACAGUUUGUAGCACUAGACCCAGGCACAUGCACCACAAUUGACAUCCACACUACCUUAUUGCCCCCGCUCGGGUUACAAGCAAUCGCUACUUGCUCAACGAGUGAGGGGGUUCAAGACUACCUAUUUAAGGUGGUGUUGUACUCUAUGAGCCGGCGGUGUGGUAUUUACCAACUACAAAUAGUGUCAUGCAUGUGACUUGCUAGUUGACAAUGUCUGUUGUCAAGCUAGGUGUGGGCUAUGGAUGAAGCACAUUAGGAUAUAGUAGGCCUAUUUUGUUUUUUGUUGUUUUUGGGCCACUAUGGACUUUAUGUUGAUGUUGUGAAUUUUUUUUCUUGUGUUUCCUCUUCCUACGAUGUGGAAAGUGGGUGCGUCAGAGAAGAAAGAAAGAGUGGCUAGCAUUGAUUUUACGUCAUACCAUUGAGAACACUAAUCAGAAGCAGAAGCAACAAUAUUUCAUACAUAUACAACACUUGUAAUCCAUAUAAACAACAUUCCUUUAAAAUAUAAUAUAAACCACAUGAUUUAUAUCCUGGGUCAGCUAUCUCCACAAAGGGCAAGAAAACGCUCCAAGUUUGUAGUAUAGCACUAAAAGUGUCGAUUCUCACGAUUUCUUCCCGACAUAUACAAACUAGACAGUAAUCACAUAAAAUAAAGAAAUAUGUGUUAACACGAACUUAUAGCAUGUAUUUCAACAUAUAGAUUGUUGAUUAUUAUGGUAGAUUAUAUAAAAUAGGGGUUCCCGAAGAAAUACAUAAAAACAAGAGCAUUAAAAUUUCCUUUUCAGAUCUGGCUAACUGGUAAAGGGAGUUGGAGUAUCUGAGUUUCCAAAUUUGGGACGUCGCUCUAUAGAAGGAAUAUAAAUACAUUGGAAAAAAUUCUACAAGGAAAGGUUUAAUACAAGUAGCGCUAAGAAAAACUCAAUGAGGCUUUGGUCGCUUGGUCACAAAACUUGAGACAAGAAACACGAAGACACCAAGGUAAUUAGUAUGAGAGUUUUCCAAAUUUGGUGUCUUGAUGUAGAAAAAAUAAAUAUAUGACAAACUUGUUUUUUCGUAAGGCAUGGAUAAAUAAGUGGGGGUGAGCAAUAAAUUUCAUCCUAGAUUUAGAAGGAAUAAAUAUAUCACUAAAUAGGUUUUUUCACAAUGCCAAGUUAAUCAGGUGGGAGCGAGAAACAAUUCUAGCGAGGCUAGGUUGUACUAGCCCAAAACUACAUACAACAGAGGAAAAAUGAAGAAAAUGAUGGUCUACCAAAUAUGGCGCAUGAGCCUUAAGGUGCACCUAGAGGGAAGUAGAAGAAAUAAAUAUAUAAUGGCAUAUGUUUAUCGCAAUGCAAGGUAAAGUGUAGAUGUGCUCUAACUGGGCUUAGAUUGCAGCGACACAUUAUGCAUCUACAAGGCUUGGUUGCACAUGGAAAAAGAUAGAGAGAGAAAUGUAGAUGCAGGACCGGGUGAAAAACAUUCAAUGAGACGUGAUUGCACGGACAUAGAACUAGAUAUAAGACAAGAGUUAAAGAAAAAUAAAGGAACUAAAUUUUCUUCUGCACACUAAGCAUGAAUGGAGUUGUAGUAUCUGAGAUCAAAAUUUAAUUUAUUCCAAGAUGCAGAACAAAAAUGUGAUACUCGUAAUGGUUACAUAGGAGCAAAAGUAGAUAAGAAAAAUAGCAAAAAGAUAGUGGUCUACCAGAGAGGGCACAUGUGCCUCAAUUGUCUUAUAGCAUAGCGACUCAUUAUCCUUCCACCGCUGGUGGCGGGCGGUACUCGCUGCUCUGUGAAGCCAGCCUCACGCAAUGUCCGCCACUUUAGGUGUUGGGAUGCAAAGACUUUCGCCAAGGCAUCCGAAACCCACUACACAACUUGGAAUGGGUGGUCCACUGUUUGUAGCACUAGACCCAGGCACAUGCACCACAAUUGACAUCCACACUACCUUAUUGCCCCGCUCGGGUUACAAGCAAUCGCUACUUGCUCAGCGAGUGAGGGGGUUCAAGACUACCUAUUUAAGGUGGUGUUGUACUCUAUGAGCCGGCGGUGUGGUAUUUACCAACUACAAAUAGUGUCAUGCAUGUGACUUGCUAGUUGACAAUGUCUGUUGUCAAGCUAGGUGUGGGCUAUGGAUGAAGCACAUUAGGAUAUAGUAGGCCUAUUUUGUUUUUUGUUGUUUUUGGGCCACUAUGGACUUUAUGUUGAUGUUGUGAAAUUUUUUUCUUGUGUUUCCUCUUCCUACGAUGUGGAAAGUGGGUGCGUCAGAGAAGAAAGAAAGAGUGGCUAGCAUUGAUUUUACGUCAUACCAUUGAGAACACUAAUCAGAAGCAGAAGCAACAAUAUUUCAUACAUAUACAACACUUGUAAUCCAUAUAAACAACAUUCCUUUAAAAUAUAAUAUAAACCACAUGAUUUAUAUCCUGGGUCGGCUAUCUCCACAAAGGGCAAGAAAACGCUCCAAGUUUGUAGUAUAGCACUAAAAGUGUCGAUUCUCACGAUUUCUUCCCGACAUAUACAAACUAGACAGUAAUCACAUAAAAUAAAGAAAUAUGUGUUAACACGAACUUAUAGCAUGUAUUUCAACAUAUAGAUUUUUGAUUAUUAUGGUAGAUUAUAUAAAAUAGGGGUUCCCGAAGAAAUACAUAAAAACAAGAGCAUUAAAAUUUCCUUUUCAGAUCUGGCUAUCUGGUAAAAGGAGUUGGAGUAACUGAGUUUCCAAAUUUGUGACGUAGCUCUAUAGAAGGAAUAUAAAUACGUUGGAAAAAUUCUAUAAGGAAAGGUUUAAUACAAGUAGGGCUAAGAAAAACUCAAUGAGGCUUUGGUCGCAUGGUCACAAAACUUGAGACAAGAAACACGAAGACACCAAGGUAAUUAGUAUGAGAGUUUUCCAAAUUUGGUGUCUUGAUGUAGAAAAAAUAAAUAUAUGACAAAUUUGUUUUUUCGCAAGGCAUGGAUAAAUAAGUGGGGGUGAGCAAUAAAUUUCAUCCUAGAUUUAGAAGGAAUAAAUAUAUCACUAAAUACAUUUUUUCACAAUGCCAAAUUAAUCAGGUGGGAGCGAGAAACAAUUGUAGCGAGGCUAGGUUGUACUAGCCCAAAACUACAUACAACAGAGGAAAAAUGAAGAAAAUGAUGGUCUACCAAAUAUGGCGCAUGAGCCUUAAGGUGCACCUAGAGGGAAGUAGAAGAAAUAAAUAUAUAAUAGCAUAUGUUUUUCGCAAUGCAUGGUAAAGUGUAGAUGUGCUCUAACUGGGCUUAGAUUGCAGCGACACAUUAUGCAUCUACAAGGCUUGGUUGCACAUGGAAAAAGAUACAAAAAGAAAUGUAGACGCAGGACCGGGAGAAAAACAUUCAAUGAGACGUGAUUGCACGGACAUAGAACUAGAUAUAAGACAAGAGUUAAAGAAAAAUAAAGGAACUAAAUUUUCUUCUGCACACUAAGCAUGAAUGGAGUUGUAGUAUCUGAGAUCAAAAUUUAAUUUAUUCCAAGAUGCAGAACAAAAAUUUGAUACUCGUAAUGGUUACAUAGGAGCAAAAGUAGAUAAGAAAAAUAGCAAAAAGAUAGUGGUCUACCAGAGAGGGCACAUGUGCCUCAAUUGGCCUAUAGCAUAGCGACUCAUUAUCCUUCCACCGCUGGUGGCGGGCGGUACUCGCUGCUCUGUGAAGCCAGCCUCACACAAUGUCCGCCACUUUAGGUGUUGGGAUGCAAAGGCUUUCGCCAAGGCAUCCGAAACCCACUACACAACUUGGAAUGGGUGGUCCACUGUUUGUAGCACUAGACCCAGGCACAUGCACCACAAUUGACAUCCACACUACCUUAUUGCCCCGCUCGGGUUACAAGCAAUCGCUACUUGCUCAGCGAGUGAGGGGGUUCAAGACUACCUAUUUAAGGUGGUGUUGUACUCUAUGAGCCGGCGGUGUGGUAUUUACCAACUACAAAUAGUGUCAUGCAUGUGACUUGCUAGUUGACAAUGUCUGUUGUCAAGCUAGGUGUGGGCUAUGGAUGAAGCACAUUAGGAUAUAGUAGGCCUAUUUUGUUUUUUGUUGUUUUUGGGCCACUAUGGACUUUAUGUUGAUGUUGUGAAAUUUUUUUCUUGUGUUUCCUCUUCCUACGAUGUGGAAAGUGGGUGCGUCAGAGAAGAAAGAAAGAGUGGCUAGCAUUGAUUUUACGUCAUACCAUUGAGAACACUAAUCAGAAGCAGAAGCAACAAUAUUUCAUACAUAUACAACACUUGUAAUCCAUAUAAACAACAUUCCUUUAAAAUAUAAUAUAAACCACAUGAUUUAUAUCCUGGGUCGGCUAUCUCCACAAAGGGCAAGAAAACGCUCCAAGUUUGUAGUAUAGCACUAAAAGUGUCGAUUCUCACGAUUUCUUCCCGACAUAUACAAACUAGACAGUAAUCACAUAAAAUAAAGAAAUAUGUGUUAACACAAACUUAUAGCAUGUAUUUCAACAUAUAGAUUGUUGAUUAUUAUGGUAGAUUAUAUAAAAUAGGGGUUCCCGAAGAAAUACAUAAAAACAAGAGCAUUAAAAUUUCCUUUUCAGAUCUGGCUAUCUGGUAAAAGGAGUUGGAGUAACUGAGUUUCCAAAUUUGUGACGUAGCUCUAUAGAAGGAAUAUAAAUACGUUGGAAAAAUUCUAUAAGGAAAGGUUUAAUACAAGUAGGGCUAAGAAAAACUCAAUGAGGCUUUGGUCGCAUGGUCACAAAACUUGAGACAAGAAACACGAAGACACCAAGGUAAUUAGUAUGAGAGUUUUCCAAAUUUGGUGUCUUGAUGUAGAAAAAAUAAAUAUAUGACAAAUUUGUUUUUUCGCAAGGCAUGGAUAAAUAGGUGGGGGUGAGCAAUAAAUUUCAUCCUAGAUUUAGAAGGAAUAAAUAUAUCACUAAAUAUGUUUUUUCACAAUGCCAAGUUAAUCAGGUGGGAGCGAGAAACAAUUCUAGCGAGGCUAGGUUGUACUAGCCCAAAACUACAUACAACAGAGGAAAAAUGAAGAAAAUGAUGGUCUACCAAAUAUGGCGCAUGAGCCUUAAGGUGCACCUAGAGGGAAGUAGAAGAAAUAAAUAUAUAAUAGCAUAUAUUUUUCGCAAUGCAUGGUAAAGUGUAGAUGUGCUCUAACUGGGCUUAGAUUGCAGCGACACAUUAUGCAUCUACAAGGCUUGGUUGCACAUGGAAAAAGAUACAGAAAGAAAUGUAGACGCAGGACCGGGAGAAAAACAUUCAAUGAGACGUGAUUGCACAGACAUAGAACUAGAUAUAAGACAAGAGUUAAAGAAAAAUAAAGGAACUAAAUUUUCUUCUGCACACUAAGCAUGAAUGGAGUUGUAGUAUCUGAGAUCAAAAUUUAAUUUAUUCCAAGAUGCAGAACAAAAAUGUGAUACUCGUAAUGGUUACAUAGGAACAAAAGUAGUUAAGAAAAAUAGCAAAAAGAUAGUGGUCUACCAGAGAGGGCACAUGUGCCUCAAUUGGCCUAUAGCAUAGCGACUCAUUAUCCUUCCACCGCUGGUGGCGGGCGGUACUCGCUGCUCUGUGAAGCCAGCCUCACGCAAUGUCCGCCACUUUAGGUGUUGGGAUGCAAAGGCUUUCGCCAAGGCAUCCGAAACCCACUACACAACUUGGAAUGGGUGGUCCACAGUUUGUAGCACUAGACCCAGGCACAUGCACCACAAUUGACAUCCACACUACCUUAUUGCCCCCGCUCGGGUUACAAGCAAUCGCUACUUGCUCAGCGAGUGAGGGGGGGUCAAGACUACCUAUUUAAGGUGGUGUUGUACUCUAUGAGCAGGCGGUCUGGUAUUUACCAACUACAAAUAGUGUCAUGCAUGUGACUUGCUAGUUGACAAUGUCUGUUGUCGAGUUAGAUGUGGGCUAUGGAUGAAGCACAUUAGGAUAUAGUAGGCCUAUUUUGUUUUUUGUUGUUUUUGGGCCACUAUGGACUUUCUGUUGAUGUUGUGAAAUUUUUUCUUGUGUUUCCUCUUCCUACGAUGUGGAAAGUGGGUGCGUCAGAGAAGAAAGAAAGAGUGGCUAGCAUUGAUUUUACGUCAUACCAUUGAGAACACUAAUUAGAAGCAGAAGCAACAAUAUUUCAUACAUAUACAACACUUGUAAUCCAUAUAAACAACUUUCCUUUAAAAUAUAAUAUAAACCACAUGAUUUAUAUCCUGGGUCGGCUAUCUCUACAAAGGGCGAGAAAACGCUCCAAGUUUGUAGUAUAGAACUAAAAGUGUCGAUUCUCAUGAUUUUUCCGACAUAUACAAACUAGACAGUAAUCACAUAAAAUAAAGAAAUAUGUGUUAACACGAACUUAUAGCAUGUAUUUCAACAUACAUAUUGUUGAUUAUUAUGGUAGAUUAUAUAAAAUAGGGGUUCCCGAAGAAAUACAUAAAAACAAGAGCAUUAAAAUUUCCUUUUUAGAUCUGGCUAUCUGGUAAAAGGAGUUGGAGUAACUGAGUUUCCAAAUUUGUGACGUAGCUCUAUAGAAGGAAUAUAAAUACGUUGCAAAAAUUCUACAAGGAAAGGUUAAUACAAGUAGGGCUAAGAAAAACUCAAUUAGGCUUUGGUCGCAUGGUCACAAAACUUGAGACAAGAAACACGAAGACACCAAGGUAAUUAGUAUGAGAGUUUUCGAAAUUUGGUGUCUUGAUGUAGAAAAAAUAAAUAUAUGACAAACUUGUUUUUUCUCAAGGCAUGGAUUGAGAGCACCUAGAGGGGGGGGUGAAUAGGUGAUCCUGUGAAACUUGAAAACUUAAGCCACAAAACUUGGUUAAUCGUUAGCACAAUAAUUGCCAAGUGGCUAAAUAGGAAUCCUCAACAAAAUACAAUAACCAACAAAGAUCAAUCACAGAGAUGACACGGUGGUUAUCCCAUGGUUCGGCCAAGACCAACGCUUGCCUACUCCAUGUUGUGGCGUCCCAACGGACGAGGGUUGCAAUCAACCCCUCUCAAGCGGUCCAAAGACCCACUUGAAUACCACGGUGUUUUGCUUUGCUUAUCUUUAUCCCACUUGCGAGGAAUCUCCACAAAUUGGAGUCUCUCGCCCUUACACUUAAAGUUCACAAAGAAGCACGGAGUAAGGGAGGGAAGCAACACACACAAAUCCACAGCAAAAUGCGCACACACACGGCCAAGAAUCGAGCUCAAAAGACUAUCUCAAAGUUCUCACUAGAACGGAGCUCGAAUCACUGAGAAUGACAAACGAAUGCGCAAAGACUGAGUGUGGAUGAUCAAGAAUGCUCUAAGGUUGCUUGGUUUUUCUCCUCCAUGCGCCUAGGGGUCCCUUUUAUAGCCCCAAGGCGGCUAGGAGCCGUUGAGAACAAAUCUGGAAGGCCAUCCUUGCCUUCUGUCGUCGGGCGCACCGGACAGUCCGGUGCACACCGGACACUGUCCGGUGCCCGAUUUCCUUCCUUAAAUGGCGAAGCCGACCGUUGCAGAUGUGGGAGCCGUUGGCGCACCGGACAUGUCCGGUGCACACCGGACAGUCCGGUGCCCCCUUCCGACCGUUGGCUCGGCCACGUGUCGCGCGCGGAUUCCGUGGCCGACCGUUGGCCCGGCCGACCGUUGGCUCACCGGACAGUCCGGUGCACACCGGACAGUCCGGUGAAUUUUAGGCGUACGUCGCCGGUGAAUUCCCGAGAGCGGCCAGUUCGCUCGAGCCAGCCUGGCGCACCGGACACAGUCCGGUGCACCACCGGACAGUCCGGUGCCCCAGACCGAAACAGCCUCUUGGCUGUACACAGCCAACUCUUCUCUUUCCUUCUUCUUUUUGUUUCUGAUACUUAGACAAGUAUAUUAGUACACAAAACCAAUGUACUAAGACUUAGAAACAUACCUUUGCUCUUGAUUUGCACUUUGUCCAUUCAUGGGCAUAGAUUUACAUUUAAUUACUUGUGUUGGCACUCAAUCACCAAAAUACUUAGAAAUGGCCCAAGGGCACAUUUCCCUUUCAAUCUCCCCCUUUUUGGUGAUUUAUGCCAACACAACAUAAAGCAACUAGAACAAGUGCAAUAUUACUUCAAAUAAAAACUCAAAUUCAUUUUGAUUCAAUUUGGCAUAUAUGGAUCAUCCUUUGCCACCACUUGGUUUGUUUUUGCAAAUCAAACUCAAAAUCCUAUCUCUAAGUCAAAUCCACUUGUAGAGACAUAAAGAGAGGUUUUCCAUAGAAGAUUGAUUCAAGAUUCCAAAAACUCCCCCUUUUUCCCAUAAUCAACACUUCACCCCACAAGAGGCCAACUUUUGAUAAAAGAGACAAUGCAAGAGUAUUGACAAACCAAAAGCUCUAUCCUACUGUUUUCAAAGUUUCUCAAGUGGUAGCUGAUCCAUUUAUUGCUUUGGCCUUUAUUUUCUCCCCCUUUGGCGUCAAGCACCAAAACGGGAUCAAUCUUGGCCCUUUAACCCCAUUGCCUCACCAAAAUCUUCAAUUAAGAGCAAAUAGGCAAUAAGAGUUAAAAGAUGAACUUGGAAAAGUUACUCUUUUCAUCGGAGUGCAGUGGAAGUCUUGCAUGGUCCAAGUCCACCUUUUCCCUUUUAAUUCUCCUUCGAGACUAAAACAAGCAAACUCAAGCAUAUGGUUAGUCUCAAAGGGUCAAGUUGUAACACAUCUCCCCCUAAAACUGUGCAUCACUUUGCAACGGACUUGUGAGGUCCAGGGAGUGUUUGUACAACUUGAGCACCAUACUAAACAACAAAAUGCAAAAAGGAUCAUGAUCAAAAGCAUAAAUACAUGUAUGCUACAAUUCAAUCCAAGUUCCGCGAAUCUACGACAUUUAGCUCACUACGCAGCCUGCAAAAGGUCUUCUCAUCUAGAGGCUUGGUAAAGAUAUCGGCUAGCUGGUUCUCGGUGCUAACAUGAAACACUUCGAUAUCUCCCUUUUGCUGGUGAUCUCUCAAAAAGUGAUGCCGGAUGUCAAUGUGCUUUGUGCGGCUGUGUUCAACAGGAUUUUCCGCCAUGCGGAUAGCACUCUCAUUGUCACAUAGGAGUGGGACUUUGCUCAGAUUGUAGCCAAAGUCCCUGAGGGUUUGCCUCAUCCAAAGUAGUUGCGCGCAACACUGUCCUGCGGCAACAUACUCGGCCUCAGCGGUGGAUAGGGCAACGGAGGUUUGUUUCUUAGAGUUCCACGACACCAGGGACCUUCCUAAGAAUUGGCACGUCCCUGAUGUACUCUUCCUAUCGACCUUACAUCCAGCAUAGUCGGAAUCUGAGUUUCCAACCAAGUCAAAGGUAGACCCCUUUGGAUACCAGAGCCCGAAGCAAGGCGUAGCAACCAAAUAUCUAAGAAUUCGCUUCACCGCCACUAAGUGACACUCCUUAGGAUUGGAUUGAAAUCUAGCACACAUGCAUACGCUAAGCAUAAUAUCCGGUCUACUAGCACAUAAAUAAAGUAAAGACCCUAUCAUUGACCGGUAUGCUUUUUGAUCAACGGACUUACCUCCUUUGUUGAGGUCGGUGUGUCCGUCGGUCCCCAUCGGAGUCUUUGCGGGCUUGGCGUCCUUCAUCCCAAACCGCUUCAGCAGGUCUUGCGUGUACUUUGUUUGGGAGAUGAAGGUGCCGUCCUUGAGUUGCUUCACUUGAAACCCAAGGAAGUAGUUCAACUCGCCCAUCAUCGACAUCUCGAAUUUCUGCAUCAUAACCCUGCUAAACUCUUCACAAGACUUUUGGUUAGUAGAACCAAAUAUUAUGUCAUCGACAUAAAUUUGGCACACAAACAAAUCACCAUCACAUGUCUUAGUAAAAAGAGUUGGAUCGGCUUUCCCAACCUUGAAGGCAUUUGCAAUUAAAAAGUCUUUAAGGCAUUCAUACCAUGCUCUUGGGGCUUGCUUAAGUCCAUAGAGCGCCUUAGAGAGCUUACACACGUGGUCGGGGUACCGUUCAUCCUCGAAGCCAGGGGGUUGCUCUACGUACACCUCCUCCUUGAUUGGCCCGUUGAGGAAAGCGCUCUUCACAUCCAUUUGGAACAACCUGAAAGAAUGGUGAGCGACAUAUGCUAGCAAGAUACGAAUUGAUUCUAGCCUAGCCACAGGAGCAAACGUCUCCUCAAAGUCCAAACCUGCGACUUGGGCAUAACCUUUUGCCACAAGUCGAGCCUUGUUCCUCGUCACCACCCCGUGCUCGUCCUGUUUGUUGCGGAAUACCCACUUGGUUCCCACAACGUUUUGCUUGGGACGAGGCACCAGUGUCCAAACUUCAUUUCGCUUGAAGUUGUUGAGUUCCUCCUGCAUGGCUAACACCCAGUCCGGAUCUAGCAAGGCCUCUUCUACCCUGAAAGGCUCAAUAGAAGAGACAAAGGAGUAAUGCUCACAAAAAUUAACUAAUCGAGAUCGAGUAGUUACUCCCUUGCUAAUAUCACCCAGAAUUUGGUCGACGGGAUGAUCCCUUUGAAUCAUCGCUCGAACUUGGGUUGGAGGUGCCGGUUGUGCUUCUUCCUCCAUCACAUGAUCAUCUUGUGCUCCCCAUUGAUCACACUCCUCUUGAUGAACCUGUUCAUCGUUUUGAGUUGGGGGAUGCAUCAUUGUUGAGGAAGAAGGUUGAUCUUGCUCCAAUUGUUCCUGUGGUCGCACAUCACCAAUCGCCAUGGUGCGCAUAGCGGCCGUUGGAACGUCUUCUUCAUCUAAAUCAUCAAGAUCAACAACUUGCUCUCUUGGAGAGCCAUUAGUCUCAUCAAAUACAACGUCGCUAGAGACUUCAACCAAACCCGAUGAUUUGUUGAAGACUCUAUACGCCUUUGUAUUUGACUCAUAACCUAACAAAAACCCUUCUACAGCUUUGGGAGCAAACUUAGAAUUUCUACCCUUCUUUACUAGAAUGUAGCACUUGCUCCCAAAUACACGAAAGUAAGAUACAUUGGGUUUGUUACCGGUUAGUAGCUCAUACGAAGUCUUCUUGAGGAGGCGAUGAAGGUAGACCCUGUUGAUGGCGUGGCAAGCCAUGUUCACGGCUUCCGACUAGAAACACUCGGGGGUCUUGAAUUCUCCAAGCAUCGUCCUCGCCAUAUCGAUUAGUGUCCUGUUCUUCCUCUCUACCACACCAUUUUGCUGUGGUGUGUAGGGAGCGGAGAACUCGUGCUUGAUCCCUUCCUCCUCAAGGAACUCCUCCACUUGAAGAUUCUUGAAAUCGGACCCGUUGUCGCUCCUUAUCUUCUUCACCUUGAGCUCAAACUCAUUUUGAGCUCUCCUAAGGAAGCGCUUGAGGGUCCCUUGGGUUUCAGACUUAUCCUGCAAAAAGAACACCCAAGUGAAGCGGGAAAAGUCAUCGACAAUAACUAGACCAUACUUACUUCCCCCUAUGCUCAGAUAGGCGACGGGUCCGAAGAGGUCCAUAUGCAGCAGCUCCAGGGGUCUUGAAGUGGUCAUCACAUUCUUGCUGUGAUGCGCUCCUCCCACUUGUUUACCUGCUUGACAAGCUGCACAAGGUCUAUCUUUUUCGAAUUGUACGUUAGUCAAACCUAUCACGUGUUCUCCCUUUAGAAGCUUGUGAAGGUUCUUCAUCCCCACAUGUGCUAAGCGGCGAUGCCACAGCCAGCCCAUGCUAGUCUUAGCAAUUAAGCAUGCAUCUAGACCGGCCUCUUCUUUUGCAAAAUCAACUAAGUAAAGCUUGCCGUCUAAUACACCCUUAAAAGCUAGUGAACCAUCACUUCUUCUAAAGACAGACACAUCUACAUUUGUAAAUAGACAGUUAUAUCCCAUAUUGCAUAAUUGACUAACAGAUAACAAAUUAUAUCCAAGAGACUCUACUAAAAACACAUUAGAGAUAGAGUGCUCAUUAGAAAUUGCAAUUUUACCUAACCCUUUUACCUUGCCUUGAUUCCCAUCACCGAAUAUAAUUGAAUCUUGGGAAUCCUUAUUCUUGACGUAGGAGGUGAACAUCUUCUUCUCCCCCGUCAUAUGGUUUGUGCAUCCGCUGUCGAUAAUCCAGCUUGAACCCCCGGAUGCAUAAACCUGCAAGGCAAAUUUAGGCUUGGGACUUAGGUACCCAACUCUUGUUGGGUCCUACAAGGUUAGUCACAAUUUCCUUAGGGAUCCAAAUGCAAGUUUUAUCACCCUUGCAUUUUGCCCCUAACUUCCUAGCAAUCACCUUUCUAUCCUUUCUACAAAUUGCAAAGGAAGCAUUCAAAGCAUGAUAUAUUGUAGAAGGCUCAUUAACUUUCCUAGGCACAUUAACAACAUUUCUCCUAGGCAUAUUAUGAACAACAUUUCUCCUACCAACGUUCCUAUCAUGCUCAUAGAAAGAACUAGAAGCAACCAUGUCAUGAUAAACAUAUGAAUCAAAAACAUUAUAACUUCUAUUUGCAUUUCUAGUAUGUCUCCUAUCAUGAUACAUAAAAGCAUGGUUCUUUUUAGCACUACCAGCCAUAGGGGCCUUCCCUUUCUCCUUGGCGGAAAUGGGAGCCUUAUGGCUUGUUAAGUUCUUGGCUUCCCUCUUGAAGCCAAGUCCAUCCUUAAUUGAGGGAUGUCUACCAAUCGUAUAGGCAUCCCUUGCAAAUUUUAAUUUAUCAAAUUCGCUUUUGCUAGUCUUAAGUUGGGCAUUAAGACUAGCCACUUCAUCAUUCAAUUUAGAAAUUGAAACUAGGUGUUCACUACAAGCAUCAACAUUAAAAUCUUUACACCUAGUGCAAACCAUAACAUGUUCUACACAAGAGUUAGAUUUACUAGCCACUUCUAGUUUAGCAUUUAAAUCAUUAUUAACACCUUUUAAAGUAGCAAUGGUUUCAUGACAAGAAGAUAAUUCACUAGAAAGCACUUCAUUUCUUUUAACUUCUAAAGCAUAAGAUUUUUGUGCCUCUACAAAUUUGUCAUGCUCUUCAUAUAAAAGAUCCUCUUGUUUUUCUAAGAGUCUAUCCUUUUCAUUCAAGGCAUCAAUCAAUUCAUUAAUCUUUUCUACUUUAGUUCUAUCCAAUCCCUUGAACAAACUAGAGUAAUCUAUUUCUUCAUCACUGGACUCAUCAUCACUAGAAGAAUCAUAAGUGACAUUGUUUUGAUUGCAUACCUUCUUCUCCCUUGCCAUAAGGCAUGUGUGACGCUCGUUGGGGAAGAGGGAUGACUUGUUGAAGGCGGUGGCGGCGAGUCCUUCAUUGUCGGAGUCGGAGGAGAAGCAAUCUGAAUCCCACUCCUUUCCGAUAUGUGCCUCGCCCUUGGCCUUCUUGUAAUGCUUCUUCUUCUCCCUUUUGUUCCCCUUUUCCUGGUCACUUUCAUUAUCGGGACAGUUAGCAAUGAAAUGACCAAUCUUACCGCAUUUGAAGCACGAGCGCUUCUCCUUUGUCUUGGUCUUGCUUGGCUGUCCCUUGCGACCUUUAAGCGCCGUCUUGAAGCGCUUAAUGAUGAGGGCCAUCUCCUCAUUAUUUAGCCCGGCCGCCUCAACUUGCGCCACCUUGCUCGGUAGCGCCUCCUUGCUCCUCGUUGCCUUGAGAGCAAUGGGUUGAGGCUCAUGAAUAGGACCGUUCAACGCGUCGUCCACAUAUCUUGCCUCCUUGAUCAUCAUUCGCCCGCUUACGAACUUCCCCAGAACUUCUUCGGGCGACAUCUUGGUGUACCUAGGAUUUUCACGAAUAUUGUUCACCAAAUGAGGAUCAAGAACGGUAAAGGACCUUAGCAUUAGGCGGACGACGUCGUGAUCCGUCCAUCGCGUGCUUCCGUAGCUCCUUAUUUUGUUGAUAAGGGUCUUGAGCCGGUUGUAUGUUUGAGUUGGCUCCUCGCCCCUUAUCAUUGCGAACCGUCCAAGCUCGCCCUCCACCAACUCCAUCUUGGUGAGUAAGGUGACAUCGUUCCCCUCAUGAGAGAUCUUGAGGGUGUCCCAGAUCUGCUUGGCAUUGUCCAAGCCGCUCACCUUAUGGUACUCGUCCCUGCACAAAGAGGCUAGCAACACAGUAGUAGCUUGUGCAUUUUUAUGAAUCUGUUCAUUAAUAAACAUGGGACUAUCCGUACUAUCAAAGUGCAUUCCACUUUCUACAAUCUCCCAUAUGCUAGGAUGGAGAGAGAACAAGUGACUACGCAUUUUGUGACUCCAAAAUCCGUAGUCCUCUCCAUCAAAAUGAGGAGGUUUACUAAGUGGAAUAGAUAAUAACUGAGCAUUAGUACUUUGAGGAAUACGAGAGUAAUCAAAAGAAAAGUACGAAUUGACCGGUUUCUUUCUCUCGUAUUCGUUGUGGUCGUCGUCCUUUUGGGAGGAAGUAGACUCAUCGCUGUCGUAGUAGACGAUCUCCUUGAUGUGUCUUGUCUUCUUCUUCUUCCCAUCUUUGCGUCUGUGGCCCGAGCCCGAGUCGUUGGACUUGUCAUCCCUUGGCUCGUUGACGAAGGACUCCUUCUCCUUGUCGUUGAUCACGAUUCCCUUCCCUUUAGGAUCCAUCUCUUCGGGCGGUUAGUCCCUUUGUGAAGAGAACGGCUCUGAUACCAAUUGAGAGCACCUAGAGGGGGGGUGAAUAGGUGAUCCUGUGAAACUUGAAAACUUAAGCCACAAAACUUGGUUAAUCGUUAGCACAAUAAUUGCCAAGUGGCUAAAUAGGAAUCCUCAACAAAAUACAAUAACCAACAAAGAUCAAUCACAGAGAUGACACGGUGGUUAUCCCGUGGUUCGGCCAAGACCAACGCUUGCCUACUCCACGUUGUGGCGUCCCAACGGACGAGGGUUGCAAUCAACCCCUCUCAAGCGGUCCAAAGACCCACUUGAAUACCACGGUGUUUUGCUUUGCUUAUCUUUAUCCCACUUGCGAGGAAUCUCCACAAAUUGGAGUCUCUCGCCCUUACACUUAAAGUUCACAAAGAAGCACGGAGUAAGGGAGGGAAGCAACACACACAAAUCCACAGCAAAAUGCGCACACACACGGCCAAGAAUCGAGCUCAAAAGACUAUCUCAAAGUUCUCACUAGAACGGAGCUCGAAUCACUGAGAAUGACAAACGAAUGCGCAAAGACUGAGUGUGGAUGAUCAAGAAUGCUCUAAGGUUGCUUGGUUUUUCUCCUCCAUGCGCCUAGGGGUCCCUUUUAUAGCCCCAAGGCGGCUAGGAGCCGUUGAGAACAAAUCUGGAAGGCCAUCCUUGCCUUCUGUCGUCGGGCGCACCGGACAGUCCGGUGCACACCGGACACUGUCCGGUGCCCGAUUUCCUUCCUUAAAUGGCGAAGCCGACCGUUGCAGAUGUGGGAGCCGUUGGCGCACCGGACAUGUCCGGUGCACACCAGACAGUCCGGUGCCCCCUUCCGACCGUUGGCUCGGCCACGUGUCGCGCGCGGAUUCCGCGGCCGACCGUUGGCCCGGCCGACCGUUGGCUCACCGGACAGUCCGGUGCACACCGGACAGUCCGGUGAAUUUUAGGCGUACGUCGCCGGUGAAUUCCCGAGAGCGGCCAGUUCGCUCGAGCCAGCAUGGCGCACCGGACACUGUCCGAUGCACCACCGGACAGUCCGGUGCCCCAGACCGAAACAGCCUCUUGGCUGUACACAGCCAACUCUUCUCUUUCCUUCUUCUUUCUGUUUCUGAUACUUAGACAAGUAUAUUAGUACACAAAACCAAUGUACUAAGACUUAGAAACAUACCUUUGCUCUUGAUUUGCACUUUGUCCAUUCAUGGGCAUAGAUUUACAUUUAAGCACUUGUGUUGGCACUCAAUCACCAAAAUACUUAGAAAUGGCCCAAGGGCACAUUUCCCUUUCAUGGAUAAAUAAGUGGGGGUGAGCAAUAAAUUUCAUCCUAGAUUUAGAAGGAAUAAAUAUAUCACUAAAUACGUUUUUUUUUACAAUGGCAAGUUAAUCAGGUGGGAGCGAGAAACAAUUCUAGCGAGGCUAGGUUGUACUAGCCCAAAAUUACAUACAACAGAGGAAAAAUGAAGAAAAUGAUGGUCUACCAAAUAUGGCGCAUGAGCCUUAAGGUGCACCUAGAGGGAAGUAGAAGAAUAAAUAUAUAAUAGCAUAUGUUUUUCGCAAUGCAAGGUAAAGUGUAGAUGUGCUCUAACUGGGCUUAGAUUGCAGCGACACAUUAUGCAUCUACAAGGCUUGGUUGCACAUGGAAAAAGAUAGAGAGAGAAAUGUAGACGCAGGACCGGGAGAAAACAUUCAAUGAGACGUGAUUGCACGGACAUAGAACUAGAUAUAAGACAAGAGUUAAAGAAAAAAAGGAACUAAAUUUUCUUGUGCACACUAAGCAUGAAUGGAGUUGUAGUAUCUGAGAUCAAAAUUUAAUUUAUUCCAAGAUGCAGAACAAAAACGUGAUAUUCGUAAUGGUUACAUAGGAACAAAAGUAGAUAAGAAAAAUAGCAAAAAGAUAGUGGUCUACCAGAGAGGGCACAUGUGCCUCAAUUGGCCUAUAGCAUAGUGGCUCAUUAUCCUUCCACCGCUGGUGGCGGGCGGUACUCGCUGCUCUGUGAAGCCAGCCUCACGCAAUGUCCGCCACUUUAGGUGUUGGGAUGCAAAGGCUUUCGCCAAGGCAUCCGAAACCCACUACACAACUUGGAAUGGGUGGUCCACAAUUUGUAGCACUAGACCCAUACACAUGCACCACAAUUGAUAUCCACACUACCUUAUUGCCCCCGCUCGGGUUACAAGCAAUCGCUACUUGCUCAGCGAGUGAGGGGGUUCAGGACUACCUAUUUAAGGUGGUGUUGUACUCUAUGAGCCGGCGAUGUGGUAUUUACCAACUACAAAUAGUGUCAUGCAUGUGACUUGCUAGUUGACAAAGUCUGUUGUCGAGCUAGAUGUAGGCUAUGGAUGAAGCACAUUACGAUAUAGUAGGCCUAUUUUGUUUUUUGUUGUUUUUGGGCCACUAUGGACUUUAUGUUGAUGUUGUGAAAUUUUUUCUUGUGUUUCCUCUUCCUACGAUGUCGAAAGUGGGUGCGUCAGAGAAGAAAGAAAGUGUGGGUUGCAUUGAUUUUACGUCAUACCAUUGAGAACACUAAUCAGAACCAGAAGCAACAAUAUUUCAUACAUAUACAACACUUGUAAUCCAUAUAAACAACUUUCCUUUAAAAUAUCAUAUAAACCACAUGAUUUAUAUCCUGGGUCGGUUAUCUCCACAAAGGGCAAGAAAACGCUCCAAGUUUGUAGUAUAGAACUAAAAGUGUCGACUCUCACGAUUUCUUCCCGACAUAUGCAAACUAGACAAUAAUCACAUAAAAUAAAGAAAUAUGUGUUAACACAAACUUAUAGCAUGUAUUUCAACAUAUAGAUUUUUUAUUAUUAUGGUAGAUUAUAUAAUAUAGGGGUUCCCGAAGAAAUACAUAAAAAACAAGAGCAUUAAAAUUUCCUUUUCAGAUCUGGCUAACUGGUAAAGGGAGUUGGAGUAUCUGAGUUUCCAAAUUUGGGACGUCGCUCUAUAGAAGGAAUAUAAAUACAUUGGAAAAAAAUUCUACAAGGAAAGGUUUAAUACAAGUAGGGCUAAGAAAAACUCAAUGAGGCUUUGGUCGCAUGGUCACAAGACUUGAGACAAGAAACACGAAGACACCAAGGUAAUUAGUAUGAGAGUUUUCCAAAUUUGGUGUCUUGAUGUAGAAAAAAUAAAUAUAUGACAAACAUGUAUUUUCGCAAGGCAUGGUAAAAUAAGUGGGAGUGAGCAAUAAAUUUCAUCCUAGAUUUAGAAGGAACAAAUAUAUCACUAAAUACAUUUUUUCACAAUGCCAAGUUAACCAGGCGGGACCGAGAAACAAUUCUAGCAAGGCUAGGUUGUACUAGUCCGAAACUACGUACAACAAAGGAAAAAUGAAGAAAAUGAUGGUCUACCAAAUAUGGCGCAUGAGCCUUAAGGUGCACCUAGAGGGAAGUAGAAGAAAUAAAUAUAUAAUAGGAUAUGUUUUUCGCAAUGCAAGGUAAAAUGUAGAUGUGCUCUAACUGGGCUUAGAUUGCAGCGAUACAUUAUGCAUCCACAAGGCUUGGUUGCACAUGGAAAAAGAUAGAGAGAGAAAUGUAGACGUAGGACCAGGAGAAAAACAUUCAAUGAUACAUUAUUGCACGGACAUAGAACUAGAUAUAAGACAAGAGUUAAAGAAACAUAAAGGAACUAAAUUUUCUUUUGCAUACUAAGCAUGAAUGGAGUUGUAGUAUCUGAUAUAAAAAAUUAAUUUAUUCCAAGAUGCAGAACAAAAUUGUGAUACUCGUAAUGGUUACAUAGGAACAAAAGUAGAUAAGAAAAAUAGCAAAACGAUAGUAGUCUACCAGAGAGGGCACAUGUGCCUCAAUUGGCCUAUAGCAUAGCGGCUCAUUAUCCUUCCACCGCUGGUGGCGUGCGGUACUCGCUGCUCUGUGAAGCCAGCCUCACGCAAUGUCUGCCACUUUAGGUGUUGGGAUGCAAAGGCUUUCGCCAAGGCACCCGAAACCCACUACACAACUUGGAAUGGGUGGUCCACAGUUUGUAGCACUAGACCUAGGCACAUGCACCACAAUUGACAUCCACACUACCUUAUUGCCCCCGCUCGGGUUACAAGCAAUCGCUACAUGCUCAGCGAGUGAGGGGGUUCAGGACUACCUAUUUAAGAUGGUGUUGUACUCUAUGAGCCGGCGGUGUGGUAUUUACCAACUACAAAUAGUGUCAUGCAUGUGACUUGCUAGUUGACAAAGUCUGUUGUCGAGCUAGAUAUGGGCUAUGGCUGAAGCACAUUAGGAUAUAGUAGGCCUAUUUUUGUUUUUGUUGUUUUUGGGCCACUAUGGACUUUAUGUUGGUGUUGUAAAAUUUUUUCUUGUGUUUCCUCUUCCUAUGAAGUGGAAAGUGGCUGCGUCAUAGAAGAAAGAAAGAGUGGCAAGCAUUGAUUUUACGUCAUCCCAUUGAGACCAGUAACCAAAAGCAGAAGCAACAAUAUUUCAUACAUAUACAACAAUUGUAAUCCAUAUAAACAACUUUCCUUUAAAAUAUAAUAUAAACCACAUGCUUUAUAUCCUGGGUCGGAUAUCCCCAUAAUAGGAUAUGUUUUUUGCAAUGCAAGGUAAAGUGUAGAUGUGCUCUAACUGGGCUUAGAUUGCAGCGACACGUUAUGCAUCCACAAGGCUUGGUUGCACAUGGAAAAAGAUAGAGAGAGAAAUGUAGACACAGGACGAGGAGAAAAACAUUCAACGAGACGUGAUUGCACGGAUAUAGAACUAGAUAUAAGACAAGAGUUAAAUACAAAUAAAUGAACUAAAUUUUCUUUUGCACACUAAGCUUGAAUGGAGUUGUAGUAUCUCAUAUCAAAAUUUAAUUUAUUCCAAGAUACAGAACAAAAAUGUGAUACUCCUAAUGGUUACAUAGGAACAAAAGUAGAUAAGAAAAUUAGCAAAAAGAUAGUGGUCUACCAGAGAGGGCACAUGUGCCUCAAUUGGCCUAUAGCAUAGCGGCUCAUUAUCCUUCCACCGCUGGUGGCGGGCGGUACUCGCUGCUCUGUGAAGCCAGCCUCACGCAGUGUCCGCCACUUUAGGUGUUGGGAUGCAAAGGCUUUCGCCAACGCACCCGAAACCCACUACACAAGUUGGAAUGGGUGGUCCACAGUUUGUAGCACUAGACCCAGGCACAUGCACCACAAUUGACAUCCACACUACCUUAUUGCCCCCGCUCGGGUUACAAGCAAUCGCUACU
This 42098-nucleotide long non-coding RNA is filed under the name Zea mays. Its description in RNAcentral is "long non-coding RNA (ZMAY_LNC000227)". Lineage: Eukaryota; Viridiplantae; Streptophyta; Magnoliopsida; Poales; Poaceae. The record is from RNAcentral.